UUGUGAUGAUGACACCUGAUCAAACAGCUGACCUACACUGAGGCUUGUUUAUGAGCUUUUUAACCCUGAGCAAG
Aplysia californica (California sea hare) is the source of this 74-nucleotide small nucleolar RNA. Lineage: Eukaryota; Metazoa; Mollusca; Gastropoda; Aplysiida; Aplysiidae. The record is from RefSeq and is a predicted model, not a curated record.